AGCGAACGCUGGCGGCAGGCUUAACACAUGCAAGUCGAGCGGGCGUAGCAAUACGUCAGCGGCAGACGGGUGAGUAACGCGUGGGAACGUACCUUUUGGUUCGGAGCAACACAGGGAAACGUUGUGCUAAUACCGGAUAAGCCCUUACGGGGAAAGGAUUUAUCGCCGAAAGAUCGGCCCGCGUCUGAUUAGCUAGUUGGUGUGGUAACGGCGCACCAAGGCGACGAUCAGUAGCUGGCUGAGAGGAUGAUCAGCCACCAUUGGGACUGAGACACGGCCCAAACUACCUACGGGAGGGCAGCAGUGGGGAAUAUUGGACAAUGGGCGCAAGCCUGAUCCAGCCAUGCCGCGUGAGUGAU
RNAcentral lists this ribosomal RNA (359 nucleotides) under uncultured bacterium. RNAcentral's name for it is "bacterial SSU rRNA". It matches the Rfam family "Bacterial small subunit ribosomal RNA", at positions 29 to 409 of the family's 1533-position model. The record is from RNAcentral.